This 2817-nucleotide long non-coding RNA is filed under the name Malus domestica (apple). Its description in RNAcentral is "long non-coding RNA (MDOM_LNC017635)". Lineage: Eukaryota; Viridiplantae; Streptophyta; Magnoliopsida; Rosales; Rosaceae. The record is from RNAcentral.
AAGAAGUGGAUCAAUGGGCUGAAAUUCUGGAUGAAAAAAAGAACCCUGUCCAUGGAAAUCCUAAAAUACAUGUGAAACUACAAUUUUUCCAUGUUACAAAGGACCGCAGUUGGGGUCUGGGUAUAAGGAGUCCUAAGUUUCCUGGAGUUCCGUUUACAUUUUUCUCACAGAGACAAGGGUGUAAGGUUUCCCUUUACCAAGAUGCUCAUAUCCCAGAUAAAUUUAUUCCUAAAAUUCCUCUUGCUGGAGGCAAGCGUUACGAGCCCCACAGAUGCUGGGAAGACAUCUUUGAUGCAAUUACUAAUGCAAAGCACCUGAUCUACAUUACUGGUUGGUCAGUUUAUACUGAAAUUUCCUUGGUAAGGGACUCAAGAAGGCCAAAGCCUGGUGGAGACGUCACCAUUGGUGAAUUGCUUAAAAAGAAAGCAAGUGAAGGUGUUAGGGUUCUUAUGCUUGUUUGGGAUGACAGAACCUCUGUUGGUUUAUUGAAAAAAGAUGGACUGAUGGCCACUCAUGAUGAAGACACUGCAAAGUUCUUCCAGGGUACUGAUGUGCAUUGUGUCUUAUGCCCCCGUAAUCCUGAUGGUGGCGGGAGCAUUAUUCAGGGUGCACAAGUCUCUACCAUGUUCACUCAUCACCAGAAGAUUGUGGUUGUGGACCAUGACAUGCCAAAUGGAGAAUCAGAGAGGAGAAGAAUUGUUAGUUUUGUUGGGGGUCUUGAUCUGUGUGAUGGAAGAUAUGAUACCCCCUUCCAUUCACUUUUCAGGACAUUGGAUACUGCACACCAUGAUGAUUUUCAUCAGCCAAAUUUUACUGGUGCCUCAAUUACAAAAGGUGGUCCAAGGGAACCGUGGCAUGAUAUCCACUCUCGACUGGAAGGGCCUAUUGCUUGGGAUGUUUUGUUUAACUUUGAGCAGAGGUGGAGAAAGCAAGGUGGUAAAGAUUUACUUGUUCAGCUUAGAGAGCUGGAGGAAAUCAUCAUUCCCCCUUCUCCUGUUAUGUUCCCAGAUGACCAUGAGACAUGGAAUGUUCAGUUAUUCAGAUCAAUUGAUGGAGGAGCUGCUUUUGGCUUCCCAGAUACGCCUGAAGAUGCAGCUCGAGCUGGGCUUGUUAGUGGGAAGGAUAACAUCAUUGACCGAAGCAUCCAGGAUGCUUAUAUUCAUGCUAUUCGCCGCGCAAAGAAUUUCAUCUAUAUUGAAAAUCAGUACUUUCUAGGGAGCUCUUUUGCCUGGGAGGCUGAUGGUAUAAAGCCUGAGGACAUUGGCGCUUUGCAUGUAAUUCCAAGGGAGCUUUCACUUAAGAUUGCUAGCAAGAUUGAAGCAGGGGAGAGGUUUACUGUCUAUGUCGUUGUUCCAAUGUGGCCAGAGGGGAUCCCAGAGUCAGGAUCUGUUCAGGCAAUAUUAGACUGGCAGAGGAGGACUAUGAAUAUGAUGUAUGCAGAUGUUAAGCGUGCAUUAGAUGCACAAGGUCUCGAGGAGGAUCCUCGGACCUACUUGACAUUUUUCUGCCUUGGGAAUCGGGAGGUAAAGAAGCCUGGGGAAUAUGAACCCUCAGAGACACCAGAAGCAGAUUCAGACUAUCAAAGAGCUCAGGCAGCCCGACGCUUCAUGAUUUAUGUUCAUGCCAAGAUGAUGAUAGGUAAGUCACACACUUAUAAACUUCAUGUUACUCACUUUUGACAUAUCUUUCUCAUGGUUUUAUAUUCAUGAACAUUGUUCCUGCCACGCAACACCUGCAUUCACAUGUAGCAAGCCCAACUCUCUAUUGAACUUUUGUUCUUGGUUUAAACUUUAGAAUUUUAGCUGACCUUUGUCUUAGUUAUGUUUUGGUUGUUGAUUAUGCAGCGACCGAUACCUGCUUCUUGAUAUUCAGUUUCAUGGUGUUUAUCAUUAUAUCAAACAGCUUCAUAUAUAUUACAUAGUCUGCUAGAAAGAAAUAUACAAACCUUUCUACUAUAGUGCUGUCUCUCACGGGACAAUGGUGGUUCUAUAUUCUACCCAUCUUGGUUACUACAAAGCACAUAAUUGACUCACUCUUGCGUUUCUGCAGUUGACGAUGAAUACAUAAUUAUUGGAUCUGCCAACAUCAACCAGAGAUCAAUGGAUGGUGCCAGAGACUCUGAAAUAGCAAUGGGAGCCUACCAACCAUAUCAUCUGUCUGUCAGGGAACCAGCACGUGGUCAGAUCCAUGGUUUCCGUAUGGCACUAUGGUAUGAGCACCUUGGCAUGCUUGAUGAGGCCUUCCUUCAGCCAGAAAGAAUUGAAUGUAUUUCAAAGGUGAACCAGAUUGCUGACAAAUACUGGGAUCUCUAUUCAAGUGAGACUCUUGAACAUGAUUUACCUGGUCACUUGCUUCGAUAUCCAGUUGGUAUUACCAGCGAAGGAGUUGUCGAUGAGUUGCCAGGAUUUGAAUUCUUCCCUGACACCAAAGCUCGUAUUCUUGGUGCCAAAUCCGACUACCUUCCUCCGAUCCUUACUAAUUAAGUGUGCUUUUUGUCACUUGGUUUGUAAAAACCUUCUACAUUAUCUUUGUUUUUACACUACUAUUUGUGAUAGUAGAUUAAUAAGUCCAUCUGUGUCACUACCUGCAUAGAUGUUUUCUGUUGCUGGAUGUUCAUAGCAGGUUGGUGAUUUGGUAAUGUUGUGUGAUUUGCUGACUGAUGUAACUUAUGAACCAUGUUUAAUUAUUGUAAUGUUAUUUGGUUGUCUUCACUUAUGUUGCCCUAUGGAUAUUGAUGUGCUCUCUAUUUUUAUCUAUACGUUGAACUUCACUUGUUUCUAUGCGUUUGAAUGAAGAAAAUAAACUUAAAUUUUGAAA